UCCGGUAUAGUGUAACGGUCAACAUAUCGCGUUUUCAUAGCUAUCUAGUUGAGAUCCGCGGGGCUCGGGGUUCGAUUCCCCGUACCGGAG
This is a transfer RNA of Pseudomassariella vexata, 90 nucleotides long. It matches the Rfam family "tRNA". Rfam says of the family: Transfer RNA (tRNA) molecules are approximately 80 nucleotides in length. Their secondary structure includes four short double-helical elements and three loops (D, anti-codon, and T loops). Lineage: Eukaryota; Fungi; Ascomycota; Sordariomycetes; Amphisphaeriales; Pseudomassariaceae. The record is from Rfam.